GAACCUGCGGAAGGAUCAUUACCUAGAGUUGUAGGCUUUGCCUGCUAUCUCUUACCCAUGUCUUUUGAGUACCUUCGUUUCCUCGGCGGGUCCGCCCGCCGAUUGGACACAUUUAAACCCUUUGUAGUUGCAAUCAGCGUCUGAAAAACUUUAAUAGUUACAACUUUCAACAACGGAUCUCUUGGUUCUGGCAUCGAUGAAGAACGCAGCGAAAUGCGAUAAGUAGUGUGAAUUGCAGAAUUCAGUGAAUCAUCGAAUCUUUGAACGCACAUUGCGCCCCUUGGUAUUCCAUGGGGCAUGCCUGUUCGAGCGUCAUUUGUACCUUCAAGCUUUGCUUGGUGUUGGGUGUUUGUCUCGCCUCUGCGCGCAGACUCGCCUCAAAACAAUUGGCAGCCGGCGUAUUGAUUUCGGAGCGCAGUACAUCUCGCGCUUUGCACUCAUAACGACGACGUCCAAAAAGUACAUUUUUUACACUCUUGACCUCGGAUCAGGUAGGGAUACCCGCUGAACUUAAGCAUAUCAAU
RNAcentral lists this ribosomal RNA (524 nucleotides) under Ectophoma multirostrata. Its description in RNAcentral is "eukaryotic LSU rRNA". The stretch from base 162 to 315 matches the Rfam family "5.8S ribosomal RNA". The record is from RNAcentral. Lineage: Eukaryota; Fungi; Ascomycota; Dothideomycetes; Pleosporales; Didymellaceae.